UACGGAGGAUACGAGCGUUAUCCGGAUUUAUUGGGUUUAAAGGGUGCGUAGGCGGAUCGUUAAGUCAGUGGUCAAAUUGAGGGGCUCAACCCCUUCCCGCCAUUGAAACUGGCGAUCUUGAGUGGAAGAGAAGUAUGCGGAAUGCGUGGUGUAGCGGUGAAAUGCAUAGAUAUCACGCAGAACCCCGAUUGCGAAGGCAGCAUGCCGGCUUCCUACUGACGCUGAAGCACGAAAGCGUGGGGAUCGAACAGG
RNAcentral lists this ribosomal RNA (252 nucleotides) under uncultured bacterium. RNAcentral describes it as "partial 16S ribosomal RNA". It matches the Rfam family "Bacterial small subunit ribosomal RNA", at positions 524 to 776 of the family's 1533-position model. The record is from RNAcentral.